GAAUUAAUGUCUUUUUAUAAUCAAGUCGUAUUUUCAUACCCUGUAUGUUCAAUUUCCUGAAAAACUCUCCUUUCUACCUAAAAUUUGCAUAUCUGUUUUCUAGUAAAUCUGGUAGAACUGUUUGAGAGAAAGCAUUGAGGUAGAUCAGCUAAAGUAUUUCACAGGCUUAGGCGUGUAAAAUGAGUUGCAGUACCUAUUUUGCAAUAGCUUCCUCCAUUUUUAACCUAUGUCUCAAAGCUAUCUUGUUUUAGGAGCACCAGCCUUCGGGAGGGUGCAGAUUGCAGGAGAUAUGUCCUGUUGACUUUGAAUUUAAAUAAGUUAGUCAUGCAGUAGCUCACCUUUUAAGUUUAGCAAGAAGUCAGUUCAAGGCUAGCAGAUAGGUUUGGCACCUGUUUCUAGUGGUGAAACUGUAAGACCCGUGAGCCAAAUAUCUGAUUUGAAAGGUAAGUUAAACUGUACUGAGAAAUCCUAAGUUAAGGUGGCACUAAGGAUGCAGUCAGAAUCCUAUAAACUGCCCGUGGGCGGGUUCACUUCUGCUUUCUGGUGUCAGUAAGGUGGGCUGGUAUCUUCUCACUCCUCUGUCAUAUCUUACGGCACUCACCUUCCCUAUGUGCAGAAAAUCUCUCCUAUUGAUUCAGCAGAAUCAGCUGCACUAUGACAGCUCGGAUUAAAAUCUUUGCAGAGAGGGAGUAGACUGCCCAGCCACACUUUCAGGAAACCCAGAUGAGAGAGGACAUCAGGAUCACUUGUGUCUGGCCCAGCUUCCAGAAGUGCAGGAUGAAGGAGAGAGACAUGAGAAGAGUUUGCAUAAAUUAACUGGAAAAAUUGGUUCUUAUGUCAUGCAAAAGACAUCUGAGAGCUACUGAACAUCAAAUGAAUGAAAGGAAGAUGAGGAAUAGGAAGGUUAAUAGAUGAAUUAAAAAAAAGGUGAGAAAACUUCACACAAGGGAGAAAAUAAGACUACCGAGCCAAACUAGAUAUUCAAGAGGCUUUUAAAAACAUAUAUAUCAGAAACGGAAAGAGGAGUCAAGGAGCCAGCAGAGCUUUUAAGACAGGAUGGGGCACCAAGACUGGUGAGAGACUAAGGGGGAUACUGCUAAUACUGAUCAUUUGCCUCAGGGCUCACAAAAGCUGAGGACAGAAGAGAAAUUCAUUUCCCAGAGGAGGGAAAAAGAAGUAGUGAGUGAUCUCAGGG
This 1195-nucleotide long non-coding RNA is filed under the name Struthio camelus australis. RNAcentral's name for it is "lncRNA (ENSSCUG00000013597.1)". Lineage: Eukaryota; Metazoa; Chordata; Aves; Struthioniformes; Struthionidae. The record is from RNAcentral.